CCUACGGGAGGCAGCAGUGGGGAAUAUUGGACAAUGGGCGAAAGCCUGAUCCAGCAAUGCCGCGUGAGUGAUGAAGGCCUUAGGGUUGUAAAGCUCUUUUACCAGGGAUGAUAAUGACAGUACCUGGAGAAUAAGCUCCGGCUAACUCCGUGCCAGCAGCCGCGGUAAUACGGAGGGAGCUAGCGUUGUUCGGAAUUACUGGGCGUAAAGCGUACGUAGGCGGUUAUUCAAGUCAGAGGUGAAAGCCUGGAGCUCAACUCCAGAACUGCCUUUGAAACUAGAUAGCUAGAAUCUUGGAGAGGUGAGUGGAAUUCCGAGUGUAGAGGUGAAAUUCGUAGAUAUUCGGAAGAACACCAGUGGCGAAGGCGACUCACUGGACAAGUAUUGACGCUGAGGUACGAAAGCGUGGGGAGCAAACAGGAUUAGAUACCCUGGUAGUCCACGCCGUAAACGAUAGAUAACUAGCUGUUCGGGCUCUACGAGCUUGAGUGGCGCAGCUACGACAUUAAGUUAGUCCGUCCGUCGGGUAGGUACGGUCGGCGAGAAGUUAAACGUUAAAGGUAAAGUUAGUUACGGUACGUUGAGACGUUGCCGACGGACGACGACGAGGGAGGUUAGG
Molecule: ribosomal RNA, 619 nt
Filed under: uncultured bacterium
Lineage: Bacteria
Description: bacterial SSU rRNA
Rfam family: Bacterial small subunit ribosomal RNA (bases 1-520)
Source: RNAcentral